AAGUCGUAACAAGGUUUCCGUAGGUGAACCUGCGGAAGGAUCAUUACAAAACAAAAUCCAAACCACACCAAAUGUGCUCUAUAAAUGCUGAGAAGCUGUCUUUGUGUGUGAAUAUGUUACUGUUUGUGUGAGGAGAAAAAUUUAUUUUUUCCUCCUCGCACUCUCACACACACACACACACACAAUCCUUCUUUUCAGCAUUGUCUUUGUUUAUCAAUUUUUUCAUUAACUCCUUGUUUAACCAACAACGGAUUACAAUGUUAAAACUUGAAACAAAAAAACAAAACAAAAUGACAACUUUUAACGGUGGAUCUCUUGGCUCGU
RNAcentral lists this unclassified non-coding RNA (324 nucleotides) under fungal sp. RNAcentral's name for it is "partial internal transcribed spacer region". The stretch from base 1 to 46 matches the Rfam family "Eukaryotic small subunit ribosomal RNA", at positions 1786 to 1831 of the family's 1831-position model. Lineage: Eukaryota; Fungi. The record is from RNAcentral.